CGGUAAAGUGACUGAUGAAGGUGAUAAAUUGUAAAUUUAUUUAUAAGUGUAAGGCUUUUUUACUGG
Molecule: transfer RNA, 66 nt
Filed under: Ornithodoros tholozani
Lineage: Eukaryota; Metazoa; Arthropoda; Arachnida; Ixodida; Argasidae
Description: tRNA-Tyr
Source: RNAcentral